Long non-coding RNA from Caretta caretta (loggerhead turtle), 609 nucleotides. RefSeq lists it as uncharacterized. The record is from RefSeq and is a predicted model, not a curated record. Lineage: Eukaryota; Metazoa; Chordata; Testudines; Cheloniidae.
UCGCAUUGAGACAGCCUGAAAUGGGCUGCAGCCCCCUCCCGGAAACCGCCCCGCCUCCCCAGCCAGGUCCUGGCCCGCCGUCCCCGCGCAAGCCGGCCGAGGCCGGAGGGCCCUGCAGGAGUGGGCGGAGCGAGGCCGGCUUCCGAGCAUGGGGAGGGGCUGGCUUGGGGGGGCAGGGGGGAACUGCCCCCCAUCACUCACUAGUGGCGCGCCACAUCUCUGCACUUCCUGUCGCCGACUAACACGGCUGCUACUCUGAAACCUGCAAUAGUCAAGAUACACACAAGAGGGAGCUCUGACCUGAAAAAAUGAAAUAAAACUUUUGCAGUUCUAAGUCUGUCUCGCCCAUCCAAACCAUAUAUUAGCAUGAACUCACACAGCAAAGUGAUCAAAGACAAAAAACCCACCAUCCAUCCAACCCGUGGGUGAAUACAUUUCACAAAGUGAUCACUCCAUAUCUGACCUUUCAGUCCUCAUUGUCAAAGGAAACCUGCACAACCCCUUCAAGAGAAGAGCCUGCAAGCUUAUGUUCAUAACAUUGCUAGACCCUAAACGUCAUGGUGUUACUGAAGACACUGAAUUUAAAUAAAUUUGUUAGUCUCUAAGGUG